This 497-nucleotide ribosomal RNA is filed under the name uncultured bacterium. RNAcentral's name for it is "partial 16S ribosomal RNA". It matches the Rfam family "Bacterial small subunit ribosomal RNA", at positions 28 to 507 of the family's 1533-position model. The record is from RNAcentral.
GAUGAACGCUGGCGGCGUGCCUAAUACAUGCAAGUCGAGCGAACAGACGAGGAGCUUGCUCCUCUGACGUUAGCGGCGGACGGGUGAGUAACACGUGGAUAACCUACCUAUAAGACUGGGAUAACUUCGGGAAACCGGAGCGAAUACCGGAUAAUAUAUUGAACCGCAUGGUUCAAUAGUGAAAGACGGUUUUGCUGUCACUUAUAGAUGGAUCCGCGCCGCAUUAGCUAGUUGGUAAGGUAACGGCUUACCAAGGCAACGAUGCGUAGCCGACCUGAGAGGGUGAUCGGCCACACUGGAACUGAGACACGGUCCAGACUCCUACGGGAGGCAGCAGUAGGGAAUCUUCCGCAAUGGGCGAAAGCUUGACGGAGCAACGCCGCGUGAGUGAUGAAGGUCUUCGGAUCGUAAAACUCUGUUAUUAGGGAAGAACAAAUGUGUAAGUAACUAUGCACGUCUUGACGGUACCUAAUCAGAAAGCCACGGCUAACUACGUG